RNAcentral lists this ribosomal RNA (761 nucleotides) under uncultured bacterium. Its description in RNAcentral is "bacterial SSU rRNA". It matches the Rfam family "Bacterial small subunit ribosomal RNA", at positions 8 to 760 of the family's 1533-position model. The record is from RNAcentral.
AGAGUUUGAUCAUGGCUCAGAUUGAACGCUGGCGGCAGGCCUAACACAUGCAAGUCGAGCGGUAGCACAGAGAGCUUGCUCUCGGGUGACGAGCGGCGGACGGGUGAGUAAUGUCUGGGAAACUGCCUGAUGGAGGGGGAUAACUACUGGAAACGGUAGCUAAUACCGCAUAACGUCGCAAGACCAAAGUGGGGGACCUUCGGGCCUCAUGCCAUCAGAUGUGCCCAGAUGGGAUUAGCUUGUAGGUGAGGUAACGGCUCACCUAGGCGACGAUCCCUAGCUGGUCUGAGAGGAUGACCAGCCACACUGGAACUGAGACACGGUCCAGACUCCUACGGGAGGCAGCAGUGGGGAAUAUUGCACAAUGGGCGCAAGCCUGAUGCAGCCAUGCCGCGUGUGUGAAGAAGGCCUUCGGGUUGUAAAGCACUUUCAGCGGGGAGGAAGGCGGUGAGGUUAAUAACCUCAUCGAUUGACGUUACCCGCAGAAGAAGCACCGGCUAACUCCGUGCCAGCAGCCGCGGUAAUACGGAGGGUGCAAGCGUUAAUCGGAAUUACUGGGCGUAAAGCGCACGCAGGCGGUCUGUCAAGUCGGAUGUGAAAUCCCCGGGCUCAACCUGGGAACUGCAUUCGAAACUGGCAGGCUAGAGUCUUGUAGAGGGGGGUAGAAUUCCAGGUGUAGCGGUGAAAUGCGUAGAGAUCUGGAGGAAUACCGGUGGCGAAGGCGGCCCCCUGGACAAAGACUGACGCUCAGGUGCGAAAGC